This 492-nucleotide ribosomal RNA is filed under the name uncultured bacterium. Its description in RNAcentral is "partial 16S ribosomal RNA". It matches the Rfam family "Bacterial small subunit ribosomal RNA", at positions 29 to 507 of the family's 1533-position model. The record is from RNAcentral.
AGUGAACGCUGGCGGUAGGCCUAACACAUGCAAGUCGAACGGCAGCACAGUAAGAGCUUGCUCUUACGGGUGGCGAGUGGCGGACGGGUGAGGAAUACAUCGGAAUCUACUUUUUCGUGGGGGAUAACGUAGGGAAACUUACGCUAAUACCGCAUACGACCUACGGGUGAAAGCAGGGGAUCUUCGGGCCUUGCGCAAUUGAAUGAGCCGAUGUCGGAUUAGCUAGUUGGCGGGGUAAAGGCCCACCAAGGCGACGAUCCGUAGCUGGUCUGAGAGGAUGAUCAGCCACACUGGAACUGAGACACGGUCCAGACUCCUACGGGAGGCAGCAGUGGGGAAUAUUGGACAAUGGGCGCAAGCCUGAUCCAGCCAUACCGCGUGGGUGAAGAAGGCCUUAGGGUUGUAAAGCCAUUUUGUUGGGAAAGAAAAGCAGCAGGUUAAUACCCCGCUGUUCUGACGGUACCCAAAGAAUAAGCACCGGCUAACUUCGUG